This 115-nucleotide ribosomal RNA is filed under the name Trachys minutus. Its description in RNAcentral is "partial 16S ribosomal RNA". The record is from RNAcentral. Lineage: Eukaryota; Metazoa; Arthropoda; Insecta; Coleoptera; Buprestidae.
AUAACAUUCAAAUUAAAAAUAAUUAAUUAAAGGAUUGGUCCUUUCGUACUAAACAUUUUAAUAGAUUAAAGAUAGAAACCGACCUGGCUCACGCCGGUUUGACUCAGAUCAAGUA